CACUCUGGAAAGCGCCGCGCGCCUGCGCGUGGCCACCGAAGGGGUAAGCGCACCCAUCCGUGCGCCAGUCUCUCAGGUUUCCCGACAGAGGGGG
Molecule: non-coding RNA, 94 nt
Filed under: Qipengyuania citrea
Lineage: Bacteria; Pseudomonadati; Pseudomonadota; Alphaproteobacteria; Sphingomonadales; Erythrobacteraceae
Description: Glycine riboswitch
Rfam family: Glycine riboswitch aptamer
About the family: This family represents the bacterial glycine riboswitch. Glycine riboswitches usually consist of two metabolite-binding aptamers domains with similar structures in tandem. The aptamers cooperatively bind glycine to regulate the expression of downstream genes.
Source: RNAcentral